GGUAGUAUGGCUGAGUUAAGUGAUAAGCUGUAAACUUAUUUAUGGGGGAAAAAAUUCCUUCUACUACCA
RNAcentral lists this transfer RNA (69 nucleotides) under Tropidophis haetianus (Haitian dwarf boa). Its description in RNAcentral is "tRNA-Tyr". It matches the Rfam family "tRNA". From Rfam's summary of the family: Transfer RNA (tRNA) molecules are approximately 80 nucleotides in length. Lineage: Eukaryota; Metazoa; Chordata; Lepidosauria; Squamata; Tropidophiidae. The record is from RNAcentral.